UUUGUAGUUCUGAGUAAAAUACUCCAAAGACCACUACAACAUUCAAAAGAAAUAGCCCUCUUUUGAUAUUUCCACCUUACUACAAUAUCGCUCACUCUCUAUUUUUCUCACAGACUAUUUUCUUAUACCUUGUCUGUGAAACCUCACUCUUUCUUUCUCUCUUCGUUGGUGUAUAGAAAUGAGAGUUGAAGCUCUCCUUUUAU
Molecule: long non-coding RNA, 203 nt
Filed under: Nicotiana benthamiana
Lineage: Eukaryota; Viridiplantae; Streptophyta; Magnoliopsida; Solanales; Solanaceae
Description: long non-coding RNA (NBEN_LNC018378)
Source: RNAcentral